RNAcentral lists this ribosomal RNA (497 nucleotides) under uncultured bacterium. Its description in RNAcentral is "partial 16S ribosomal RNA". It matches the Rfam family "Bacterial small subunit ribosomal RNA", at positions 28 to 507 of the family's 1533-position model. The record is from RNAcentral.
GAUGAACGCUGGCGGCGUGCCUAAUACAUGCAAGUCGAGCGAACGGACGAGGAGCUUGCGUGUCUGAUGUUAGCGGCGGACGGGUGAGUAACACGUGGAUAACCUACCUAUCAGACGGGGAUAACUUCGGGAAACCGGAGCUAAUACCGGAUAAUAUUUUGAACCGCAUGGUGCAAAAGUGAAAGACGGUCUUGCUGGCACGUAUAGAUGGAUCCGCGCUGCAUUAGCUAGUUGGUAAGGUAACGGCUUACCAAGGCAACGAUGCAUAGCCGACCUGAGAGGGUGGUAGGCCACCCUGGAACGUGGACGCCGUCCAGGCGCCUACGGGACGCAGCAGUAGGGAAUCUUCCGCAGUGGGCGAAAGCCUGACGGAGCGACGCCGCGUGAGUGAUGACGGUCUUCGGAUCGUAAAACUCUGUUAUUAGGGAAGAACAUAUGUGUACGUAACUGUGCACAUAUUGACGGUACCUAAUCAGAAAGCCCCGGCUAACUACGUG